ACUCCUGGGAGCUCAGGCGGAGAAAAAUAAAUGGGGUCUCCCUAUGUUGCCCAGGCUAGUCUCAAACUCCUGGCCUCAAACGAUCCUCCUGCCUUGGCCUCCAAAGUAUUGGGAUUACAGGCGUGCGCUACUGUACCCGGCCUACUGCUGUUUUUUGGAAACUGAAGAUGAGAUGCAGUUUUGCCAUGUUGGCCAGGCUGGUCUGGAACUCCUGACCUCAAGUGAUCCGCCCUCCUUGGCCUCCCAAAGUGCUGAGACUACAGGUGUGCACCACUGCCCCCAGCCCAUGAGCCACUGCACCCAGCUCAGUAAGCACUUUAAAAGAAGACCUGGACAUCAGAACCUCUCUCCUCCUGGUUUUGAAGAAGCAAGCUGCCACGAGUCUACAGCUGUAAGGAAAUGAAUUCUGCCAGCGACCCCAUGUGCUUGAAAGAGGACCCCGAACCUCAGAUGAGACCCAGUCCCAGGAGACACAUUGAGUGCUGCCUUUCAGGACCCUGAACAGAGGACCCAGUUGAAGCAUCACCAGGCUCCCGACCCACAGAAACUG
Piliocolobus tephrosceles (Ugandan red Colobus) is the source of this 550-nucleotide long non-coding RNA. RefSeq lists it as uncharacterized. The record is from RefSeq and is a predicted model, not a curated record. NCBI's taxonomy places the organism in Eukaryota, Metazoa, Chordata, Mammalia, Primates, Cercopithecidae. The transcript has 3 exons.